RNAcentral lists this transfer RNA (67 nucleotides) under Colpocephalum spinicollis. Its description in RNAcentral is "tRNA-Leu". The record is from RNAcentral. Lineage: Eukaryota; Metazoa; Arthropoda; Insecta; Psocodea; Menoponidae.
AACAAUUUAGCAUAUUUGUGCACUGAGCUUAGACCUCAGAGGGAAUGUUAAAAAACGUUAAUUGUUA